UACGUAGGUCCCGAGCGUUGUCCGGAUUUAUUGGGCGUAAAGCGAGCGCAGGUGGUUUAUUAAGUCUGGUGUAAAAGGCAGUGGCUCAACCACUGUAUGCAUUGGAAACUGGUAGACUUGAGUGCAGGAGAAGAGAGUGGAAUUCCAUGUGUAGCGGUGAAAUGCGUAGAUAUAUGGAGGAACACCGGUGGCGAAAGCGGCUCUCUGGCCUGUAACUGACACUGAGGCUCGAAAGCGUGGGGAGCAAACAGG
RNAcentral lists this ribosomal RNA (252 nucleotides) under uncultured bacterium. Its description in RNAcentral is "partial 16S ribosomal RNA". It matches the Rfam family "Bacterial small subunit ribosomal RNA", at positions 524 to 776 of the family's 1533-position model. The record is from RNAcentral.